GACGAACGCUGGCGGCGUGCUUAACACAUGCAAGUCGAACGAAGAGCGAUGGAAGCUUGCUUCUAUCAAUCUUAGUGGCGAACGGGUGAGUAACGCGUAAUCAACCUGCCCUUCAGAGGGGGACAACAGUUGGAAACGACUGCUAAUACCGCAUACGAUCUAAUCUCGGCAUCGAGGAUAGAUGAAAGGUGGCCUCUAUUUAUAAGCUAUCACUGAAGGAGGGGAUUGCGUCUGAUUAGCUAGUUGGAGGGGUAACGGCCCACCAAGGCGAUGAUCAGUAGCCGGUCUGAGAGGAUGAACGGCCACAUUGGGACUGAGACACGGCCCAGACUCCUACGGGAGGCAGCAGUGGGGAAUCUUCCGCAAUGGACGAAAGUCUGACGGAGCAACGCCGCGUGAGUGAUGACGGCCUUCGGGUUGUAAAGCUCUGUUAAUCGGGACGAAAGGCCUUCUUGCGAAUAGUUAGAAGGAUGACGG
Molecule: ribosomal RNA, 477 nt
Filed under: Veillonella dispar
Lineage: Bacteria; Bacillati; Bacillota; Negativicutes; Veillonellales; Veillonellaceae
Description: bacterial SSU rRNA
Rfam family: Bacterial small subunit ribosomal RNA
Source: RNAcentral